UUAAAUGAGGAAAGGCUUACGGUGGAUACCUAGGCACCUAGAGACGAGGACGAGCGUAGUAAGCGAUGAAAUGCUUUGGGGAGUUGAAAAUAAGCGUAGAUCCAGAGAUUCCCGAAUAGGUUAACCUUUCGAACUGCUGCUUAAUCCAUGGGCAGGCAAGAGACAACCUGGCGAACUGAAACAUCUUAGUAGCCAGAGGAAAAGAAAGCAAAAGCGAUUCCCAUAGUAGCAGCGAGAGAAAUGGGAGCAGCCUAAACCAUGAAAAACGGGAUUGUGGGAGAGCAAGACAAGCGUCGUGUUGCUAGGCGAAGCGGUGGAGUGUUGCACCCUAGAUGGCGAGAGUCCAGUAGUCAAAAGCAUCACUAGCUUAUGCUCUGACCCGAGUAGCAUGGGAUACGUGGAAUCCCAUGUGAAUCAGCAAGGACAACCUUGCAAGGCUAAAUACUCCUGGGUGAACGAUAGUGAAGUAGUACCGUGAGGGAAGGGUGAAAAGAACCCCCAUCGGGGAGUGAAAUAGAACAUGAAAACAUAAGCUCCCAAGCAGUGGGAGGAGCCCUGGGCUCUGACCGCAUGCUUUUUGAAGAAUGAGCCGGCGACUCAUAGGCAGUGGCUUGGUUAAGGGAACCCACCGGAGCAGUAGCGAAAGUGAGUCUUCAUAGGGAAAUUGUCACUGCUUAUGGACCUGAACCUUGGUGAUCUAUCCAUGACCAGGAUAAAGCUUGGGUGAAACUAAGUGGAGGUCUAAACCGACUGAUGUUGAAGAAUCAGCGGAUGAGUUGUGGUUAGGGGUGAAAUGUCACUCAAAUCCAGAGUUAGCUGGUUCUCCCCGAAAUGCGUUGAGGCGUAGCAGUUGACUAGACAUUUAGGGGUAAAGCACUGUUUUGGUGUGGGCUGCGAGAGCGGUACCAAAUCGAGGCAAACUCUGAAUACUAGAUAUGACCUCAAAAUAAUAGGGGUCAAGGUCGGCCAGUAAGCCGGUGGGGUAUAAGUUUCAUCGUCGAGAGGGAAACAGCCCGGAUCACCAGGUAAGGCCCCUAAAUGACUGCUCAAUGAUAGAAGAGGUAGGGGUGCAGAGACAGCCAGAAGGUUUGCCUAGAAGUAGCCACCCUUAAAGAGUGCAUAAUAGCUCACUGAUCGAGCUGUGGGAUGUAAAAAUGCAUCGGCAGGGGAGCGUUCCGCCUAGAGGGAAGCAACUGUGCAAGCGGUGGUGGACGAAGCGGAAGCGAGAAUGUCGGCUUGAGUAACGCAAACAUUGGUGAGAAUCCAAUGCCCCGAAAACCUCCGCAAGGUUCAUCCAUGGAGGGUGAUUCAUGGCUUAAGAUCAGGCCGAAAGGCGUAGUCGAUGGACAACAGGUGAAUAUUCCUGUACUACCCCUUGUUGGUCCCAAAAGACGGAGGAGGCUAGGUUAGCCGAAAGAUGGUUAUCGGCUCAAGGACAUGAGGUGCCCCUAAUUUUUCAAGGUAAGAAAGGGUAGAGAAAAUUCCAUGAGCCAAUGUUCAAGUACCAGGCGCCACAGCGCUGAAGUAACCCAUGCUAUACUCCCAGGAAAAGCUCGAAUGACCUUCAACAAAAGGGUACCUGUACCCAAAACUGACACAGGUGGGUAGGUAGAGAAUACCUAGGGGUACGAGACAACUCUCUCGGAGGAACUCGACAAAAUAGCCCUGUAACUUUGGGAGAGGGGGUGCCUCCUCACAAAUGAGGUCGCAGUGACCAGGCUCCGGCGACUGUUUACCAAAAACAUAGGUCUCUGCAAAGUCGUAAGACCAUAUAUGGAGGCUGACACCUGCCCAGUGUCGGAAGGUCAAGGAAGUUGGUGACCUAAUGACAGGGGAGCCGGUGACCGAAGCCCCAGUGAACGGCGACCGUAACAAUAACGGUCCUAAGGUAGCGAAAUUCCUUGUCGGGUAAGUUCUGACCCGCAUGAAAGGUGUAACGAUCUAGGCACUAUCUCAGAGAGAGGCUCAGUGAAAUAGAUAUAGCUGUGAAGAUGCGGACUACCUGCCCCUGGACAGAAAGACCCUAUGAAGCUUCACUAUUCCCUGGGAUUGGCUUUGGGCCUUUUCUGCGCAGCUUAGGUGGAAAGCAAAGAAGGCACCCUU
This 2103-nucleotide ribosomal RNA is filed under the name Geum urbanum. Its description in RNAcentral is "bacterial LSU rRNA". It matches the Rfam family "Bacterial large subunit ribosomal RNA", at positions 1 to 2170 of the family's 2925-position model. Lineage: Eukaryota; Viridiplantae; Streptophyta; Magnoliopsida; Rosales; Rosaceae. The record is from RNAcentral.